This 510-nucleotide ribosomal RNA is filed under the name uncultured bacterium. RNAcentral describes it as "bacterial SSU rRNA". It matches the Rfam family "Bacterial small subunit ribosomal RNA", at positions 30 to 507 of the family's 1533-position model. The record is from RNAcentral.
CGAACGCUGGCGGCGUGCCUAAUACAUGCAAGUCGAGCGAGCGGAACCAACAGAUUUACUUCGGUAAUGACGUUGGGAAAGCGAGCGGCGGAUGGGUGAGUAACACGUGGGGAACCUGCCCCUAAGUCUGGGAUACCAUUUGGAAACAGGUGCUAAUACCGGAUAAUAAAGCAGAUCGCAUGAUCAGCUUUUGAAAGGCGGCGUAAGCUGUCGCUAAGGGAUGGCCCCGCGGUGCAUUAGCUAGUUGGUAAGGUAACGGCUUACCAAGGCGACGAUGCAUAGCCGAGUUGAGAGACUGAUCGGCCACAUUGGGACUGAGACACGGCCCAAACUCCUACGGGAGGCAGCAGUAGGGAAUCUUCCACAAUGGACGCAAGUCUGAUGGAGCAACGCCGCGUGAGUGAAGAAGGUUUUCGGAUCGUAAAGCUCUGUUGUUGGUGAAGAAGGAUAGAGGUAGUAACUGGCCUUUAUUUGACGGUAAUCAACCAGAAAGUCACGGCUAACUACGUG